Molecule: long non-coding RNA, 1630 nt
Organism: Amphiprion ocellaris (clown anemonefish)
Lineage: Eukaryota; Metazoa; Chordata; Actinopteri; Pomacentridae
Source: Ensembl
AAAAAACCUUUAUUGUGUUUGUGAAGAUACAAAAAAACAAACAUGUACGAGUCAUUGAUUCAACACAGGAAGUCAGGGUUCUACAACUUCCUGUGUCAGGUUUCCAUCAGUUCCUCUGUUGACGUCCAGUCCUCAACAUCGGAUCGUUCUGGACGAGGUCGGGUCGUUUCAGAUCCUCUUCGAGUCAUAUAGAUCCAGUCUUUAGGUUGUUUCAGACCCUCUUCGAGUCGUAUAGAUCCAGUCUUUAGGUCGUUUCAGAUCCUCUUCGAGUCGUUUAGAUUCAGUCUUUUUGGUCAUUUCAGAUCUUUUGAAGUCAUUUAGAUCCAGUCUUUACAUCAUUUCAGACCCUUUCGAGUCAUUUAGAUCCAGUCUUUGGGUCAUUUCAGAUCUUUUCGAGUUGUUUAGAUCCAGUCUUUACAUCAUUUCAGACCCUUUCAAGUCGUUUAGAUCGUCUUUGGGUCGUUUCAGACCCUUUUGAGUUGUUUAGAUCUAGUCUUUGGGUCGUUUCAGAUCUUUUAAAGUCAUUUAGAUCCAGUCUUUACAUCAUUUCAGACCCUUUCGAAUCAAUUAGAUCCAGUCUUUGGGUCAUUUCAGAUCUAUUGAAGUCAUUUAGAUCCAGUCUUUACAUCAUUUCAAACCCUUUCAAGUUGUUUAGAUCCAGUCUUUGGGUCGUUUCAGACCCUUUUGAGUCGUUUAGAUCUAGUCUUUGGGUCAUUUCAGAUCUUUUGAAGUCAUUUAGAUCCAGUCUUUACAUCAUUUCAGACCCUUUCGAGUCGUUUAGAUCUAGUCUUUGGGUCGUUUCAGACCCUCUCGAGUCGUUUAGAUCUAGUCUUUGAGUCGUUUCAGACCCUUGCGAGUCGUUUAGAUCUAGUCUUUUGGUCGUUUCAGACCCUUUCGAGUCGUUUAGAUCUAGUCUUUGGGUCGUUUCAGACCCUUUCGAGUCAUUUAGAUCCAGUCUUUGAGUCUUUUUGGACCCUUUUGAGUCGUUUAGAUCCAGUCUUUGAGUCGUUUUGGACACUUUCGAGUCGUUUAGAUCCGGUCUUUGAGUUGUUAUGGACCCUUGGAGUCAUUUAGAUCCAGUCUUUGGGUUGUUUCAGAUCUUUUCAAGUCAUUUAGAUCCAGUCUUUAGAUCGUUUCAGACCCUGUUGAGUCAUUUAGAACCAGUCUCUGGGUCAUUUCAGAUCUUUUCGAGUCGUUUAGAUCCAGUCUUUGGGUCGUUUUGGACACUUUCGAGUCGUUUACAUCCGGUCUUUGAGUUGUUUUGGACCCUUGGAGUCGUUUAGAUCCAGUCUUUGAGUCGUUUUGGACACUUUCGAGUCGUUUAGAUCCGGUCUUUGAGUUGUUAUGGACCCUUGGAGUCAUUUAGAUCCAGUCUUUGGGUUGUUUCAGAUCUUUUCAAGUCAUUUAGAUCCAGUCUUUAGAUCGUUUCAGACCCUGUUGAGUCAUUUAGAACCAGUCUCUGGGUCAUUUCAGAUCUUUUCGAGUCGUUUAGAUCCAGUCUUUGGGUCGUUUUGGACACUUUCGAGUCGUUUACAUCUGGUCUUUGAGUUGUUUUGGACCCUUGGAGUCGUUUAGAUCCAGUCUUUGGGUUGUUUCAGAUCUUUUCCAGUCGUUUAGAUCCAGUCUUUGG